CCUGAUCCAGCAAUGCCGCGUGAGUGAAGAAGGCCUUCGGGUUGUAAAGCUCUUUCAGUCGAGAAGAAAAGAUCGUGACUAAUAAUCAUGAUUCAUGACGGUAUCGACAGAAGAAGCACCGGCUAACUACGUGCCAGCAGCCGCGGUAAUA
RNAcentral lists this ribosomal RNA (151 nucleotides) under uncultured bacterium. RNAcentral describes it as "partial 16S ribosomal RNA". It matches the Rfam family "Bacterial small subunit ribosomal RNA", at positions 382 to 525 of the family's 1533-position model. The record is from RNAcentral.